AGAGUUUGAUCAUGGCUCAGAUUGAACGCUGGCGGCAUGCCUUACACAUGCAAGUCGAACGGCAGCACGGGCUUCGGCCUGGUGGCGAGUGGCAAACGGGUGAGUAAUGCAUCGGAACGUACCGUGUAGUGGGGGAUAACGUAGCGAAAGUUACGCUAAUACCGCAUACGCCCCGAGGGGGAAAGUGGGGGACCGCAAGGCCUCACGCUAUAUGAGCGGCCGAUGUCGGAUUAGCUAGUUGGUGGGGUAAAGGCCUACCAAGGCGACGAUCCGUAGCGGGUCUGAGAGGAUGAUCCGCCACACUGGGACUGAGACACGGCCCAGACUCCUACGGGAGGCAGCAGUGGGGAAUUUUGGACAAUGGGCGCAAGCCUGAUCCAGCCAUGCCGCGUGAGUGAAGAAGGCCUUCGGGUUGUAAAGCUCUUUCAGACGGAAAGAAAUCUCUUGGGUUAAUACCCUGGGAGGAUGACGGUACCGUAAGAAGAAGCACCGGCUAACUACGUGCCAGCAGCCGCGGUAAUACGUAGGGUGCGAGCGUUAAUCGGAAUUACUGGGCGUAAAGCGUGCGCAGGCGGUGAUGUAAGACAGAUGUGAAAUCCCCGGGCUCAACCUGGGAACUGCGUUUGUGACUGCAUCACUCGAGUACGGCAGAGGGAGGUGGAAUUCCGCGUGUAGCAGUGAAAUGCGUAGAUAUGCGGAGGAACACCGAUGGCGAAGGCAGCCUCCUGGGCCAGUACUGACGCUCAUGCACGAAAGCGUGGGGAGCAAACAGGAUUAGAUACCCCGGUAGUCCAA
Molecule: ribosomal RNA, 795 nt
Filed under: uncultured bacterium
Lineage: Bacteria
Description: bacterial SSU rRNA
Rfam family: Bacterial small subunit ribosomal RNA
Source: RNAcentral